This 223-nucleotide long non-coding RNA is filed under the name Gouania willdenowi (blunt-snouted clingfish). RNAcentral describes it as "lncRNA (ENSGWIG00000010640.1)". The record is from RNAcentral. Lineage: Eukaryota; Metazoa; Chordata; Actinopteri; Blenniiformes; Gobiesocidae.
AUGGACCUUGACCGUAAAUUCCUGACAUUUCCUGAAGCAUGUCUGAUCAUCCUUUGAUCAGGUGGACAACGGGAUAAUCACACGUUUAUCCAACUGCACAGAUUCCACAGCCCCACGGCAGUUCACUGUCCUCUCUUUGGGCUCAGAGCAGUGAGACGAGUGAGUCAGUGGAAGUGUCAGAGCACCAAAACAGACGGACACCCCACAUAAUUAGCCUGGAGUC